Mesocricetus auratus (golden hamster) is the source of this 107-nucleotide small nuclear RNA. The record is from Ensembl. Lineage: Eukaryota; Metazoa; Chordata; Mammalia; Rodentia; Cricetidae.
GUGCUUGCUUUGGCAGCACAUAUUCUAAAAUUGGAACGAUACAGAGAAGAUUAGCAAGGCCCUUGAGUAAGGAUGACAUGCAAAUUCAUGAAGCGUUCCAUAUUUUU